This 271-nucleotide long non-coding RNA is filed under the name Heterocephalus glaber (naked mole-rat). RNAcentral's name for it is "lncRNA (ENSHGLG00100041549.1)". Lineage: Eukaryota; Metazoa; Chordata; Mammalia; Rodentia; Bathyergidae. The record is from RNAcentral.
UACAAGCUCAAGUUCUAAGCCCUUGAGCCAGAAUUCAAGACGCCCCCAUCUGCCCCACUCCAAUUCCCAACUGCCCUCUUUCCACCCGCCCUACAAACUGUUCCAACUGCCCAGCCAGUUCCCAGCCUUCCGAAGACGCCUUGCAGUCUCCCUCUCCUGGGACAAAUGUAAGACGAAUACUCCAAGAAGAACUAAAUGCAGAAAAAUUAUCACUUCAAACACUUAGACCCAAGUACAGUCCUUCCUACCAAAGGGGAAUGGCCAGUCUGAU